RNAcentral lists this long non-coding RNA (1388 nucleotides) under Ananas comosus (pineapple). RNAcentral's name for it is "long non-coding RNA (ACOM_LNC032488)". The record is from RNAcentral. Lineage: Eukaryota; Viridiplantae; Streptophyta; Magnoliopsida; Poales; Bromeliaceae.
UUUUAUCCGGUAUUCCAAAUAUCCACAUAUAUAAAAAAAAAAUAUAUAUAUAUAUAUAUAAAGAAUGCGAGCCUACAUUUUAGUUUUGCCUCAAACAGGCCCAUCUAUCGAAACUUUCUAUUAAUUUUAAAGGCAGCAUGUUGAGAUAACAUAUUUUCAAGCCCAUUUAAGCUCCUUCAUGAAAAUCUUCGAAUAUCAAAAUCCAAGAAAAAUUGUAGCCAUGUGGUGUGUCCACAUUGGCGGGUUUUAAUUUAACCCAAUCCACUUAAAAUGUGGAUUGGGAUUUAUCCUAAUAAGUUUAAGAUAAGAAUAAAUCCUAGGUUUCUUAUUAGUUAAGAAAUUUAUCUACUAAUGGAUAUCUAUUAUAUGUUAAUUGAUAUCCUGAUCCUUAUCCUAAUCUAUAUGAGAUUCAGGAUAUUUAGGGGUUCUGUUAUUCUAUAAAUACGUCACCUUGUUUUCUCCCAUGAAGGACGAUUGAAUACGAUCAAAUUCGUAAGAACCCAUGAAAUAUCUUUCUUAUUCUCUCUCUUCUUCCUCUCUGGGAUUUCCUCCUACGUUCCCGGGGUUUUGGAGUGUGGACAUAAAAGAGGACUCUGAUAGCCCUCUCCGAUCGGCAUUCGUCACAUCAGAUCUACAUCCGAUCCGUGGCGUAAGGCGUACGCAAAGGAGAAGGCGAGAAACGUAGAAGAUCCAGAAGGAUCGAGACAAGGACGAUCCAAGAAGGCUUGUUAAAUAAGUAAUCCGAUCCGAUUCGGGUUCCCGGAUACGUUGGCUAUCCGGUUUGUAAGUUUUCACUACCCUAUUAUUUCCAACAGAAAUCAUGAAAACCAUUCACCUAUGAUAAUUUAAGUAUUUUCAUUUCAAAUGAUCUUGUCAUGUCAUCACCGUUAAUAGUUCUCUCAACAGUUAACAAAAUUUUCAACUUUUGCAAGCCCAUUUGAUAUAAAACUAAAGUACAAAAUUGAUAUUAUUUAAAUUAAUUUUUAUGCAUGAUGACAUUUGAAAGAUAGGAUAUGUGCCGGGAGUUUGGGGAGGAGGAUUUGUCAAUGUUUGGUUAGGGAAUAGGAAUAGGGAUGGGCCCUUAUCCCCCCUUUAUACCCUAACGCUAAUUUUUUAUCCGAGAACAGUAAGUUCUCUGUUACCUAUAAUAACCGGUUAUAACUAUUUCCAUCAACACCUCCAUUUUCUAUAUAAAACUAUCUAAUAUUUUUCUUAUUCCAUAUUAUCUAUCCAAGCACUAUUUUUCUUAUCCUAGGAAACAAUCCAAUUUUUAUCCAAACGCUAUUUUUCUUAUCCCCAUACUAGCACCUAUUCCUAUAAUAGUUAGUUUUUGCUUAUACCCGAACCAAACGGUACGGAUUUAUAGUUAAUCCUUUUCUUAAUCUCAU